CAGGGGGGUGAGGAUACUGGGGCGUGAGGAUACAGGGGGAUGACUGCUACCACUACUGGAAAAGUGAAACCACAUGAGAGUGUGUCCUACUGAUGAAACAUUAAGAUUAUGCCUUUUUGUUUUUAGAAGUCCAAAGAGACUUUGCUACUGGUUGUGAGUUCUGCUUUUCCAGACCAAAGCAACUCAUCUCACAAAUCAACUACCAUCCUACUUUGUAUUAAUUAAGUGUAAGAAAAAUUGAAACCAAAAUAGUUAUUAGAACAGAAGCAUUUAUUGGACACAGUUCUUCAGGCCUGAAAGAGGAGGCACAGUCCAGUAAUUGGAGCUUGGGACCUGGAACCACACUGCUGAAGUUCAGGACCUGCCUCUGACUCUUGAGAGCUGGGUGACCUUGAGCAAGCUAGCGAACUUCGUCUGCAGAAUGACGUGCUUCCCUGAUGGAAAGGAGGAAGACGUGACAUUGAAUGCCGUGUACCAGCAUUGCGGUGGGUUCUGGGGAUUGCUGGUGUGUAGGAUUCACUGCGAAGAUGGAAGCCAACGGAAAGGCAUGACGCAGUUGUCUCAAGUGGAAGUACAUGUUGCGAAAGGAGCUUGGAGAAAGAGGUGGUUAUGAGAAGCCUCUGUAAGAGUUGAUGCCGAGCCUUGAUGGGUGAGUAGGGGCCAAGCAAAGAACAGAGGGAAGCACCCUCCAGGCAGAGGACGCUGGAUGUUUGAAUGCUUGAAAGAGCAUAGUUUGCUGAGAGAAUGCAAAUAAUCUGUAUAAUACGAGGCAGGGGCUACAGUAAGGACUAGGAGAAUAAGAGGAGAAAUGGCAAAGCUGACUAGGCCAAGAGGAGAUAGUGAAGUCUAUUUAGUAUUUUUAAUGUUUUAUUGUUUCUUCAAAAGUGAAAAUUUUAUUUUUGAAAAGGAUUUAAAUAGUGUAUGAUAAUAUAUAAAAGUAAAACAAGCAAAAAUCACUUGAAAGUCUUCUCAAUCUGAGGUUACAACUGUUGAUCCUUUACUGGGCAUCUUUCUAUACUCUUUCUCUCUAUAUAUGUAAUUUCAUGCAAGUAGAAAUAUACUAUGCACAUUGUUAUGCAACUUCCGCCCAUUUUUUUGUCAAUGAUGAGAAUCUUGGACUUUAUUCUAAAGAGCAUUAGUGAUUUUCAAUGAGGAGAUAUCAUAAUAAUAUUUGUAAAUUAUGAAAAAACACACAACGGUAUUGUACAGGGUCAACUUGAGGCAGUGGUGGUGGGAACACCAAAGAGCCCAGGGAAGGAAUGAUGGUGAUAUGAGUCAGGCAAUGGUGAUGGGCUGGAAAAAGGGAGGCGUCCAGAUGGCACAGGAGUAAGCGCGGCGCGCUCUGCGAUUGUGGAGGUGGAGUUGUCAAAAGGAGGGAGGUGCUGAGGAAGAGAGACAGAGGAAGAGAAAUCGCCAGUGAUUCCCAGGUUGCUGGCUGGGAAUGUGUGGGUAUUAACCAGCAGUUUGGAAUGCCUGUGGGAUGUUCAGGUGAAGAGAGCAGGUAAGCAUUUAAAUAUACAGGACUGCAGCUCAAGGUAGAAUUCAAAACUGGAGAUAGAAUUCUGGGCAUAUCAUCAGAGGUUAAAGCUAAGAGAGCUGAGGACUGGUGACACAGGCCAAGCAGGAAACGUUGAGUGGGGACCUUGUUUUGUUCAGUGUUAUAUUCUCAGAACUGCCCCUAGCAUGUAGCAGGGGCUAAGUGUUUCUUGAAUGAGUAAUUAAAUAAUAAUAAACGUUUUUUCUAUUUCA
RNAcentral lists this long non-coding RNA (1749 nucleotides) under Bos indicus x Bos taurus (hybrid cattle). RNAcentral's name for it is "lncRNA (ENSBIXG00005001902.1)". Lineage: Eukaryota; Metazoa; Chordata; Mammalia; Artiodactyla; Bovidae. The record is from RNAcentral.